Molecule: ribosomal RNA, 515 nt
Filed under: uncultured bacterium
Lineage: Bacteria
Description: bacterial SSU rRNA
Rfam family: Bacterial small subunit ribosomal RNA
Source: RNAcentral
GACGAACGCUGGCGGCGUGCCUAAUACAUGCAAGUCGAGCGGGGAUUAUGCUUGAUCGCUUCGGUGAGACGGCAUAUAUCCUAGCGGCGGACGGGUGAGUAACGCGUGGGUAAUCUACCUCGUAGUUCGGGAUAACAGGCCGAAAGGCUUGCUAAUACCGGAUGAGUUCAUGCUUAUGCAUAUAGGCAUGAAGAAAGGGCUAGCCCGUAUGAGAUGAGCCCGCGUCCCAUUAGCUUGUUGGUGGGGUAAUGGCCUACCAAGGCAACGAUGGGUAGCCGGCCUGAGAGGGUGUACGGCCACACUGGGACUGAGACACGGCCCAGACUCCGUACGGGGGGCAGCAGUAGGGAAUUUUCGGCAAGUGGGCGAAAGCCUGACCGAGCGACGCCGCGUGAGGGACGAAGGCCUUCGGGUGUAAACCUCUGUCGUGGGGGAGUGAGAACGGACGGUACCCCGGAGGAACGCCCGGCUACGUACGUCGCCAGCAGCCGACGGUAAAAGUACGUCUAUCUGAC